This is a non-coding RNA of Coffea arabica (coffee), 1998 nucleotides long. The record is from RefSeq and is a predicted model, not a curated record. Lineage: Eukaryota; Viridiplantae; Streptophyta; Magnoliopsida; Gentianales; Rubiaceae.
UUCUUUUAUUUCCUUUUCUAUCCUCAACUCCCAAACUAGCUGUUGGGCUCUUAGGCCUUAGCUAGCGGAGGAGGAGAAGCAAAGAAGUCUUCGUCUCCAUUGCAAUUUGCGAGGUCAGGGCCUAGUUACAGGGUAAAAAAAUGGAUCAAUUUAAUCAUCAGGAAACUGUUUAUCAUCAUCAACAAGUUCAGCCCCCAAAUCCCCCGCUUCCCGAGUUUGGACAGCCUCCGCCUGAUAUGCACUUGUCUUCUAAUCGCCCCAAUCUUGACUCCAGGCCAGAAGCAGUGCCAAAGGACUCCAUUGCCACAAGGAAAGUUCAAAAAGCUGACCGUGAGAAGCUACGGAGGGAUCGCUUAAAUGAGCAGUUUGCUGAGUUGGGAAAUACCCUUGAUCCUGAUAGGCCAAAAAAUGACAAAGCAUCUAUCCUCACUGAUGCUAUCCAAAUGGUGAAGGAAUUGACUGCUCAGAUUGACAAAUUAAAAGCUGAACAUGCUGCACUUAACGAAGAAUCUCGUGAGUUGACUCAGGAGAAAAAUGAUCUUCGAGAAGAGAAGGCAUCUCUUAAGUCAGAUAUUGAGAGCCUUAAUGCACAACAUCAGCAGAGAGUGAGAGCUAUGUAUCCGUGGGCAGGCAUGGAUCAUUCUGUUGUUAUGCACCCAGCUUCUUAUCCUUUUCCAUUGCCCAUGCCGAUACCUGCUGGUCCAAUUCCCAUGCAUCCAUCUUUGCAGCCAUUCCCACUAUAUGGGAAUCAGAAUGCUGCGGUUGUUCCAAGUCCUGUGUCAACUUUUGUUCCAUAUAUGGCUCCUAAUAGCAUUAUUGAACAGCAAUCAACACAACAUGUUUCUCAAGUAACACAGCCUGGUAGCAGAUCCCAUACUUCAAGCAGGCAAGAUUCUAGACCCAAAGCAUGCAAUCAGAAGGAUAGCAGAAGUGAAAAAAGCGAGACUUCAGAUGAUGUUGCAACUGACCUUGAGCUCAAGACCCCUGGGUCUACAGUAGAACAGGAUGUUUCACCUGGACAAAGAAAAGCCAAAAGAUCAUCUAGGAAGGAGAGUAACAUUACGGAAGGAAGUUCUUCAAGCAGGUGUUCAUCAUCUCACAGUGUACAGGCUGCUUCGUCAAGUAGUGUAGUUGGUGGCACAAAAACAGAUGAGUGAAGGAGGAAACCUGAACCUGGUUAUUUCAAAUUCAUUCUCCUCUCUUAAUCACUCUGAGUUAACCUUUGUCAACUGCUGGUGGCAUUCUUCUACUCUGGUGUGCAGCAGCUGCGGCGGACUUCAGCUGGAUACCAGAGGACGAGUCCAAGUGUAAAUAUGGUGUAGUUCCUCUCCAUAAGUAGGUUAGUGCUUCCACAGGACGUGGAUUAUAAUGGAGCCAGCAUCUGGAAAAGUAAUUUCAGAGGUGAUCUAUGCUGAUCAAGUUUCGGUGAAUGGACUUGUUGAUGAAUGAAUGGGGGCACCACACUGAAGUUAGCCGAGUAGAAGUCAGGAGAAUACAAAUGCAGUGAAGUUAGCCGAGUAGGAAGUCAGUCAGUGAUGAAAGUUAUGCGACUCUUCACUGCUCCUAUGUGAAUGUGGCACGACCAAAUUUUCACUUCAGAGUCGUUACCAUUGGCCAUGCCCACUACAUUUCUAGCGCUCCAGUUCUUUUUCUGCUUUUGAAGGGAGAAUGGAGUGCUAUUUGACCCCUUUUCGUCUUUUUUUUAAGGAGUGCUGGCAAAGAACGUGCUGCAGCGUAAUGGUCAUUUGGAUUUGUUACGGUACAACUGACACCAUAGGAUGUGCCGACGUCAUAGUGAGUGGUAUUUGCUAUUCGGUGAGCCAUUCUGAUGGGGGAAAAAUAUAAAUAAAUAUGGUGUAGUUUUCAUUGUUGGUUGGUGUGGGUGAGAAAGUAAGGCAGGACAUAAAUAGGAGAUACAAACGUAGCCGCGCGUGCAAUUCCUUCCUUUCCUUUUUUUUUUUUUCCAUCUUUUAAUGGAGGAGAUAUAGAUACAAAAAA